Molecule: long non-coding RNA, 4724 nt
Filed under: Homo sapiens (human)
Lineage: Eukaryota; Metazoa; Chordata; Mammalia; Primates; Hominidae
Description: HSALNT0083215
Source: RNAcentral
AGCCCAGCCCUGCAGUUUCCUCUGCAGCCCAUUGAUGGGGGAAGUGGGGUCCUGCAAGGCUCUGGUGGGCCUGCAAGCUGGGCCUGCUGAGCCACAGGGGCUAUUCUGAUCACCUCCUUCCUCUCUACCCUAUUGGUGAGGGGGACCCGCUGCCCUCAAUGGCACCAGAUGCCUGAGUGCCCAGCACCCAACCCUGGACAGCUGAGAGUGACAGCAGGCCACGGUCACAGGUGCUGAUGUGCGGGUGGAAGGCGGCCCACUCCACUCGGGGACAGGGUGGGCUCUCAGGGGCUGCAUGGCUUUGCAGUGGCCGCCCACAGGGUGAGGGGACCCUGGCUCUGUGGGGCUUGGGGCAGGGUGUUGGGAGAAUCCUGUGGGCUGGCAGGGAUCUGAAGCCCAGCGGGCUGAGGACCAGAUGGGUGCUGCUGGUCCCGCUGGUGGAGGAACUGGCAGGGUGGGGAGCCUUUCCCCCUGGGGGACACAUCCUAUGAGGACAGCGGCUCCCAGGAGGCCUCCAGAGGCUGGGAGGCCUUUCAACGCGAGGAUCUUACUGGCCACAGGUGCUGCUCAAACGAACGCUCCGAAAGUCUCAGCAGAGAAACCAACCCUCACAAGCUUUCGUCGUACGAUGGGCCUGGCUUCACUGAAUCCUAUCUAUGAACCUGGAAUCUGACAGAGAAACCAACCCUCACAAGCUUUUGUCGUACGAUGGGCCUGGCUUCACUGAAUCUGCAUCUUAUGUCACACUUAUUGCCAGCAGGACCUGCCUAGUGACAUUUAGCUGCCCUUCGAGUGGGCUGGCACCAGAUGGAAACUGGACAUAAGCUUUCGUGAGAGAUCGUGUGCAGUUCCUGAGCUUUGUGUUACCAGAUACUGUCUCUUCUCAGAUGAGGGUCAAAUUGAAAUUUCAUUACAGAAACCACCAGUCGCCACUGUUGAAGUUCAGAAGGGGUCCACCUAGUAAGGAAGGAGACCACUACUACUCCUGCUGCCCACCUUGCCUAGUUCACAAGACAGGAGGAAAGAGAGAAAGCAAAGAGUUGGAAAGAAACAAAAGUAAGAUAAAUAGCUAGAUGACCUUGGCACCACCACCCAGCCCUAGGAAUUAAAAAAUAAUAAUAACAUCAACCCCUGACCUAAACUACUUGUGUUAUCUGUAAAUUCCAGACGUUGUAUGAAAAAGCAUCGCGAAACUUUCUGUUCUGUUAGCUGAUGCAUGCAGCCCCCAGUCACGUUCCCCACGCUUGCUCGAUUUGUCACGACCCUUUCACGUGGACCCCUUAGAGUGUAAGCCUUUAGAAAGGCCAAUAAUUUCUUUUUCAGGGAGCUCGGCUCCUAAGACGCAAGUCUGCUGAUGCUCCCGACUGAAUAAACCACUUCCUUCUUUUUUUUUUUUUUUGAGACAGAGUCUUGAUCUGUCACCCAGGCUGGAGUGCAGUGGCAUGAUCUCGGCUUACUGCAAGCUCCAUCUCCCAGGUUCACAUCAUUCUCCUGCCUCAGCCUCCCAAGCAGCUGGGACUACAGGUGCCCACCACCACGCCCAGCUAUUUUGUAUUUUUAGUAGAAAGGGGGUUUCACCAUGUUAGCCAGGACGGUCUUGAUGCCCUGACCUCGUGAUCCACCCAUCUCAGCCUCCCAAAGUGCUGGGAUUACAGACAUGAGCCACUGCACCCAGCCAAACCUCUUCCUUCUUUAAGCUGGUGUCUGAGGAAUUUUGUCUGCGGCUCGUCCUGCUACACUGGGAUAGCCUUUCCUGGAUCCAUGAAAUGAGAAUUCAGUGAGUCAACUUUCAGGGUAACAGGAUUUUAAGACAUCUUCAUUUAUGUAAAAGAAAUCCCAUUCACAAACAUUCCAUUUUCAGUAACUGUGUUAAUUGUAAAUGACUCUUGUACAGUCACUAGAGCAGGCAUCGCAAAAACAUUGGUGCCUCGUUUUCUCAUUGAUAAAUAUGCAUGAAAGUCGUCUGUUUCAACGAUGCAGACAAAGAUACAAUGUUCCCUAAUCCAGAUUACAUCUUUUAGCCUGCUUGAUGGAUUAUCACUAAUUAGAUUUAUUCUUAGUUUUGUUACAUGCAAAUUUAUCUCAGUGAAAAAUAAACUCAACUAAAUACUGUUCUUUACUUGCUCUCUUGGAUAAUAAGAAUGUGGAGGGAAGGGUGAGGUUGCAGUGAUGUGGGGAUAAGGGGAAGGCGGAGGACAGACCUGGACCUGGCAGAGGAGGAAGAGGAGGAGGACGAGGUGAGAGAGGCCCCUCAUCUUCCCUGGUGUCGUGCACGCGACCUCAACUCUCGGCUCCUGUGGUCUGGGUGGUUCCUGGGUGCACAGAGAGCCUGGGACAGAGGUCCCAGGGACAGAAAGUCCUUGUUUCAGAGGAUCCAGGGUGACUGUGCAGUGAGUUUGCAGCAGCUCACCCAGCAUGUUGGGGGACGGCAGGGCUGGGUCCCUUUCUUGGGUUGCAGCUUUUCCAGGUCAUGACAUUGGCUCACUGAGCACAGCUCACACAGUGGAACGGCCAAGGCUCCAGGAACACGGCUGGGCACUGGGUCAUUCCGUGUUUGGGAAAAUAUCUUUCUUUUCACAAGGAAUGUGGCAUACAUGCACACACACACACAAACUGAUUAACACACAUAUAUGCAUAAACUAAUAAACACAUAUACACACGUGCACACACUCACAUAUUUACCAACAUACAAACAUGCAUACACUCACACACACACACACACCGACACACACAUAUGUAGAAAUUCAUAACAGACACACACCAACACAUGACCAUACAUCUACAAACUUAUAAACGCACACACACACACACAUCGACACUCAUACAUACAAAUUCAUAACACAGACACACACCAACGCAAUACCAUACAUCUACAAACUUAUAAACACACACACACACAUACAUACAAAUUCAUAACACAGACACACACCAACGCAAUACCAUACAUCUACAAACUUAUAAACGCACACACACACACCCCAGCAAUACAUGUGUGUUAAUCUGUUUGUGCUACUAUAACGAAAUGCUUCUUGCUGGGUAACUGAUGAAGAACAGGUUGUUUUCUUGCACAGUUCUGGGGGCUGUGAAGUCCCACAUCGAGGCACCAGCCUUAAUCCACCCUCCGCCCUCAUGACCUAAGCUCCUCCCAAAGGCCCCACCCCCAACACUGUUGUACUGGAUAUUAAGGUUCCAACACAUGGAUUUUGGGGGACCCAUUCAGACCAUAGCAGCAUUCAUACACACAAACUCUUACCCUUGAAAAUUAAAACCCUCACACUGAACUGAGGUCCUGAAUCCUCCUCUCUGUUCCAGACUCCACUCAGCUCAGCCUCAGCCCCAGGACUCCUUGUUCCCAGGGAGUUCAGUUCCCCGCAGCAGCUCCAGCUGGGCCUCCUCGCCCGGAAUGGGCUGGGUCGCUCCAGGGCCUCAACGUGCUCGGCCAUCACCACGCUUUAAGGGGUCUCAGGAGGUAGCAGGAUGCAUCGUGCCAUUGGUCACGCAGGCUGCACGCUCCUCAGCCCCUAGAGCAGCGGUCCUAAACCACACUCUGUGCCAGCCGCAGGCCGGGUGAGCACAGAACAGAGGCAGCUCUCGGGACGAGAAGGAAGCUUUCUGGAAAUGCCUCCCUGGCUGAGCCUGGUCAAGCGGCUGCGAGCCCACACCAGGCAGCUUCCAGGGCCCAGGAACUGAUGCCACAUUGGGGACCCCUCCUGUCAGGAGGCUGAUGCGGCCCCACACGCUGGCUGGCCACGUGCGGGAGGGUCUCCGGGGGCUGCUGCCUCAUGUCUCUGCCUCUGCUUUUCUGGAGGACAGCCCCUAGACAGGCUCCUGAGAUGUGGCCGCUGCUGCUGCUCCCCUCACUCACUGGAAGCGCAUGGUCUGGAGCUCACCCCAGAAUCCUUGGGUGGUUUUCACCCACAGCCUGUAGAAAAGCCACAUGGAUUCAAGGCCAUGCCUCUGCACCAUGUCCUCUGUCCCUGAAGGCAGAGGGGACUUGGAGCUGGCCCCAGCAUGGCCAUCCCAGCUGUGCCCAGGAGCCACCUUCUCACACCCAGUUGAGGGCCUGGUAAAGCAGCACCCCCAGCAACAGCUAUACAAAGAGCCCCUCUGGCCAGCCCUGCCCCCCACCUUUCCUUGUGGAGGGUCCUCAGGUCCAAGGUCCUCAGGGUUUUGCUAAGGCCCGUCGGGGGCCCUGCUCUGCAGAAGCAGUCUCCUCCUGUGGACAAGGCUACCGGCACUCACAAUGCCAAAAAGCAGCAGAGCCUGCAGGCCACAGAAGCCACGAGCCAGGGCAGCUGCAGGCACUCACCUGGUGACUGGCACCCUGGCCCACCGGCAUCCGAGAUUCUCCUCCGCACCUCCCCCUGUCCUCCUCACCUCCCCUAUGUCCUCCUCACCUUCCCCCACAACCCCAUCCUCUGGGCUGUGACUUCCCACCCUCUGGGUCCUGGCACAGUGUCUGGCCUCCCAGAGAGGGGUGAGGUUGAGAGAGGCUGACAGGCGUCUCCGACAUGAGUCAGCCCAUUCAGUUCCUUUUCCAGGGGCCACACUGAGUCAGCCCAUUCGGUUCCUUUUCCAGGGGCCACACUGAGUCAGCCCAUUCGGUUCCUUUCCCAGGAGCCACACUCGAAGUCACAAGAGCCUUGACAUGUUGCGGUGACCGCCUGCUGCCGGGGCUGACUGGCUUGUGACCCCGGCACCUGGAGGCCUGUCUCAGAUCCAAC